GUGAAUCAAUUUAAUUUGAAAAUUUUAAUUAAUUAUUAUAAUAAUUUUUAAAAAAAAUAUUUUUUAUUUUUAUUAUUAUUUUUAGAAAAAAUUAUUUUUAUUAUAGUUUACUAUGUAUAGUGAUAGAAAUUAUUAAAAAAUAAAAAAGAAGAAUUUAUUUUUUGUACCUUGUGUAUCAGGGUUUAUUAAUUAAAUUUUGUUUAUAGUAAAUUUCUCGAUUUUAAAAGAGUAAAUUAUUUAUAUAUUUUAUUAUAAAAUAAAUAUUUAAAAUAAAUAAUUGGUAAUGAAAUGUUAUUCGAUUUUAAAGAUAUCUAGUUAUUAAAGAAAAAAAUUAAAUUUUAUUAAUACAAAUAUUAAUAUUUAUUUUAAAAUGUUUAUUUUGUGUUUAUUAUAUUAUUUGGGAUAAGCUAGGUAAUUGACAAUUAAAAAUUAAUAUUAAAUUUUAUUAAGUUGUAGAAUUAGAAAUUUUCAUCUAAUAGUUUGUUAUAAUUAAUUAAUAAUUAAAUAAAAAUUUAUAUUUAUUUUAAUUUUUUUAUUUAAUUAAAAAAUUUAAUUAGAAAAUUUUAGGAAUUAUGAUAAAAUUAGUAUAACAUUUUGUAUAGUAUAUUUGAUUUUUUUAGGUUAUAAAAAGGAAUUCGGCAAAUUUAUUUUUCGCCUGUUUAUUAAAAACAUGUCUUUUUGAAUUUAAUUUAAAGUCUAGCCUGCCCAAUGAGGUAUUUAAUGGCCGCAGUAUUUUGACUGUGCAAAGGUAGCAUAAUCAUUAGUUUCUUAAUUAGGAACUGGAAUGAAUGGUUGGACGAGAAAAUAACUGUCUCUUUAUAAAUUAUUUAGAAUUUUAUUAUUAAGUUAAAAAGCUUAAAUUUAUUUAAAAGACGAGAAGACCCUAUAGAGUUUUAUAUAAUUAGUAAUAAUAAGUUAAAUAGGAAUUUUUAAAUAUUAUUAAUUAUUAUAUUUGGUUGGGGUGAUUAAAAAAUUUAUUUAACUUUUUUUAUUUAUAAACAUUAAUUUAUGAUUUAUUGAUCCAAUUUUAUUGAUUAAAAGAUUAAAUUACCUUAGGGAUAACAGCGUUAUUUCUUUUAAGAGUUCAAAUCGAUAAAGAAGUUUGCGACCUCGAUGUUGGAUUAAAAUUAAAUUUUGGUGUAGCAGCUAAAAUAUUAGGUCUGUUCGACCUUUAAAAUUUUACAUGAUCUGAGUUUAAACCGGUGUGAGCCAGGUUGGUUUCUAUCUUUAAAUUAUUAUAAUAUUAUAGUACGAAAGGACCUAAUAUUAAUAAAAUUUAUUAAAAAUUGAAUAUGUUUAAUAAAUUAUUAUUUUGGCAGAUUAGUGCUUUAAAUUUAGAAUUUAAUUAUGUAAUUUAUAUUAC
This 1363-nucleotide ribosomal RNA is filed under the name Brundinia marina. RNAcentral describes it as "16S ribosomal RNA". The stretch from base 1058 to 1216 matches the Rfam family "Archaeal large subunit ribosomal RNA", at positions 2542 to 2701 of the family's 2987-position model. The record is from RNAcentral. Lineage: Eukaryota; Metazoa; Arthropoda; Insecta; Coleoptera; Staphylinidae.